Long non-coding RNA from Cydia pomonella (codling moth), 4594 nucleotides. RefSeq lists it as uncharacterized. The record is from RefSeq and is a predicted model, not a curated record. The transcript has 4 exons. NCBI's taxonomy places the organism in Eukaryota, Metazoa, Arthropoda, Insecta, Lepidoptera, Tortricidae.
UAAAAAUAACCAUCAUGUGCAUUUAACUGACUGACUGCUUAACAUUUUUUGUCAUAUCAAUAAUUGUUUGUCUAAAUUGUCAUUAUCAACGUGUCAUUUGAUUUAUCAACUUGAAGUUGCCAGUUAAGUGUUAGGUAAAAGAGGGUCUAGAAUCUGUUCAAUGAGGUUUCAUUUAACACAUUCACUAUCCGUGCCCCGUAUAUGGGUCAUGGUAAGCCUCUAUCACAAAGCCGUAAGGUUGACAGUUUAGUUUCGAAUAGUGAACGUGUUAAUUAUCUCAUUACUUGUGUGGUUUUACGUAGAUAGCAAUUUUUUUCCAUUUUUCUCCAAAAAAACGUCAUAAAACCUAUAAUUCUAUACUUCAGAAGCCAAGUAAAUAUUUGUUAGCACUUUAUAUUUACACCGAUUAGCCAAAGUCGGUACAAACAAACAGCAUAAAGUCCUAGACAUCGCACGGCCACGUCAUAUUUUAGCUUCACAUAACUGACGGACGCAUGAUCGGACAUUCGGAUCGGAUAAUUUCACUUAGAACCAACGUAUACAAUGUUUAAUGUACCCUACUAUGGGACAUUGCGAGAAAUAAUAAAAAAUUACGAUAUUAUAUUCCCUAGUACGAUAAUUCGCACAUUUUCUACGAUAAUUCACUUGAUUCUAAAAUCGAUUAAAAUAUACUGCGCAGGUCCCCGCUCCAUUUCGACGUAGCUUUAUUGAUGUUGCCAGGCCGCCUGUACAAAGACGUGGUACUUAAAUGAUUUGUACACGUCAUGUGAAGUUGUACCUUGAUUUAAUAAAUAACAUUGCCUAAUUGUUCUCACUAUUGCUCUAAAUUGCAUCAUCCAGUAUUUUCCACAAUCCGUUUUGAGUGUACGAACCGACGAUAGCGAUGGAUGACCUUUCGAGGAGCGCGAUGAUAAAAUUGAGACGGUGUAGAACAUGUUGAAUCUUACGAUGACGUCAUGCUACGAUAGUAUAGACAAGGACAAUAGAUAUACAAGGCUUAUACGGGUAUGAAAGAGUCCACUAUUGUUUGAUCUGCAUCUCUUACUCGUAUUUCGCCCAUAUGCGUCGUAGCUAUCGUCGGAGAAUUUUGUGUAGUUCGCGUUGAAUCGUAUAGUCGUUUGGUUGGGUAUAUGGCUGAAAAAUUAAUAUAAUAUUUUGUUUGUGGAUAUUUUUCAAAGUGUUCAUCGUGUUUCUCUCUGAGUUGCAGUUCCAGUUGAGUUCCAGUUGCAGUUUACAGAUACCUAUAUAUUUACUCAAAGCCUGAACUGCCUUUCAACAUACGUAAUGGCGGACAAAAUUAUUCGCACAAAACCUAAAGUCAAACUUCGAGAUAAGAUUACUGGACGCAGAGACAGCUACAAAAUCCAAACGAUAUUACCAAACAUGACAUAGCUAAACGUAUCAAGUCGACAACGAUUGAAACGCCUGCAGAUGUUUCUCGAGCAGUUUGCUGCAUUCGCGUUAUGGAAAAACAGCUCCAGGAUUAGAUUAUAAGUAUAGUUAACGCUAGUUAGAGGAAAAUCCACAGCCCUAAUGUUUUCAUUAUAGCUUACUGCGGGUAUCAGAUGAAAGGCCGAUUAUGUCUACCUACAGCACAGUGGUGUAAAAGUAGUUAACAUGAAAGUCAUAAAUGACGAUAAAAUUACAUUUUAUUGCUAUUUCUAAAACCACCUAAAAUCAGCUUCCCGCGUCAAGCUACGGGGCAUAGCACACUGCGUCCGAUUGGCACGUCGUCACGUGCCAUGCCCCUAAGAUGAAAACACGUAGACGUAUGUACAGUUCAUGUCCGAAGUCCGAGGAAGCGAAAUGCUUACCACACCGUUGGCGUUGCUACAAGUUGCUCUGAGCCAAAUCCAUGGACCUCGUGCAUGAACUGAAACAGACAGGUUGUGGUAAAACAGACAUGUAAAAGAAACCCCGCAUAACAGUAGUAACAGCCUUUGGUUGAUACUAGUUUGAAUUUGUAAUUUAGUUUCCGAGAAUACGUUACACAAUUGAACGAAUUUUCCGAUGGCUGGCUGUUACGCCUGGUAUGGUAGGAUAGAGCGGUGGUAGCCAGAAGGUUCAACAUGCUGAUCUUAAGAGGGUCGCAAGUUAAAAUCCUGGCUACCACUAACUGACAAUCUAUAGACUAAAGUAGAUAUUAAGAUUUAAAUUCUAAUUUGUAAUGCCCACCAUUUGAGAUAAACUUAAACUACCUCGGAACUGUUUCUAUCGAUAUGACUCGAUGACUAGAGUUACAACUAAAAAUUAGGAACAGAAGAAACAACUAUUGCGUGCAGCGAUCGUGAACGGCUUCUCAUAAACUGUUAAUAGUGCUUAAAAAGUGCUGCGAAACAUGUCGUUAAACCGUAUAAUUAGUUCAGUAAAAACAAAAACAUUUGACUGAACAUUCCAUAAAUGGCGCUGCAUUGUUCUACAUCGCGCUAACGAAGUUUUUUAUGUCAAUUGCAUAGAUGUAACUUUUGCGCAGGUGCCAUUGGACCUCGGUCCGUUGGUACACACCUGCCUUAAUGUAGUCAUUGGGUUUCUUGCGAAAAUCUUCUUAAAGUUUCUUCUCAUUAAGACUUAGUAAUUAUAGUCUAACUAAAACAAAGGUGUGGCAUACGUUUUGCCGUACCAAACUGCCAUGAUUUAAAAUCAUUGGCAACAAUUAUUGAGUUUCUUGCUAGAGUUCUUCUCAUUCAAGAUUUUUUUUAUAUUUUAUUAAAAACCAAGGUGUGGCAUACGUUUCGCCGUACCAAACUGCCAUGAUUUAAAGUCAUUGGCAAUAAUUAUUGAGUUUCUUGCCAGAGUUCUUCCGGUUAAGAUAUUAUUAAAGGUGUGGCAUAAGUUUUGAUGUACCAUACUGCCAUGAUUUAAAGUCAUUGGCAAUAAUUAUUGAGUUUCUUGCUAGAGUUCUUCUUAUUAAAGAAUUGUUUAUACAUUAUUCAAAACCAAGGUGUGGCAUACAUUUUGCCGUACCAAACUGCCAUGAUUUAAAGUCAUUGGCAAUAAUUAUUGAGUUUCUUGCCAGAGUUCUUCCGGUUAAGAUAUUUUUAAAGGUGUGGCAUAAGUUUUGAUGUACCAUACUGCCAUGAUUUAAAGUCAUUGGCAAUAAUUAUUGAGUUUCUUGCUAGAGUUCUUCUCAUUAAAGAAUUGUUUAUACUUUAUUCAAAACCAAGGUGUGGCAUACAUUUUGCCGUACCAAACUGCCAUGAUUUAAAGUCAUUGGCAAUAAUUAUUGAGUUUCUUGCUAGAGCUCUUCUCAUUAAAGAAUUGUUUAUACUUUAUUCAAAACCAAGGUGUGACAUACAUUUUGCCGUACCAAACUGCCAUGAUUUAAAGUCAUUGGCAAUAAUUAUUGAGUUUCUUGCUAGAGUUCUUCUCAUUAUUAUUUUUUAACUAGGUCUGUAUUGCUUGUAAUAUGAGAGCAAUUAAGAUGUUUGAGUUUAAAUACCGUAUUUCGGGUUACAUUGGCCCGGGAGGGUAACUGAAAUAGCCAUUGAGAUUGCAUUUAUAUUAUAGCAUAGAGUCUGUCUAGGCUAACUCUGCAACAACUUGAAUAAAAGAAGUGAGGGCGUGUCAAUACACACGUCAUUAUUUUCAUAGAACAGAUUGAAAUUAAUGAUUAAUGAUGAUAUUGCAACACUUUGUUCUUGCAAAUGGCAUUCAGACACGGAAUAAAUAAUGGUACUACCGUACAAAAAUGAUACUUCCUACGUUCCUACAAAACCGAAGUUUAACAGGAAUUCAGGGACGAAUCACGCUAUCCCUUUCUGAUGUAUGACACUAUCCCUUUCGGCUACUUGAGCUUGUCAAAAUUCAAAUCAUUAUCUUAUCUGCGGCCGUGCACGCAAAGGGACGUUAAUUUGUGCCAACCCUUAUAAUUGCUCGGAGCAAUUCUGAGCCGGACGGAGCUGAGAAUGCCCGAAAGGAGGAGUGUCGCCCCACUGAUUCAGAGUUAACUUGACCAAGAGUCUGUUGUCGUGUGAUUAGUUUUAAGCUUUUUAAUUUUUCUUAGACCCUUGCUUUUCACGUGGGCCAAAGUUACCGUCUGUUGGGUCAAUGUACCGCGACCUCACGGUACUUUAACCAAAACAAAAAUGAGGGGUAUUUGUAAGGGUUAUACAUUUUUGCUCAUACCUUUAAUCUUCACACACUAUCGAAAUUCUACAUUAUAUUCAAUAUAGGUAGAUAUACCAUCGUAUGUGUACAAAGUAGAAAUGUGACGUUCAAAAUUGUCGCUUACCAUAUGGACGAAAUUUACUCGUAUCUUUAUACGAAUAACCUGUCAGAGCGGCCUUAUAGCAUGCGGCAAUGUGGUAUCUUUUUCUUGAGAACAACACAAAUAUUACUUUGUGUAAUAAUUAAGCACAGUUGGUUUGCUGCGUUUGCGAGUGUCAAUUUUGAGUCCCGAGCAAAGGAGAGAUUCCACAGCGGAAUUUGGAAUUUUAAUUUACAACUUGAAGCGUAGCAAGCUUACUGAACGCUUUUAUAUCUAAAUAAAUAAAUAUAAUUGUAAACUGUGUAGUUUAUUUAUUCGAAUUAUGAACUUAAUUUUUACAAUAAUAUGUCAAUAAGUGUAAGUAAUAAAAAUCAUUCAACCAGUGAA